UACGGGGGGAGCAAGCGUUGUUCGGAUUUACUGGGCGUAAAGGGCGCGUAGGCGGCGCAACAAGUCACUUGUGAAAUCUCCGGGCUUAACCCGGAGCGGCCAAGUGAUACUGUCGUGCUAGAGUGCGGAAGGGGCUACUGGAAUUCUCGGUGUAGCGGUGAAAUGCGUAGAUAUCAGGAGGAACACCGAUGGCGAAGGCAGGUCUCUGGGCUGACACUGACGCUCAUGCACGAAAGCGUGGGGAGCAAACAGG
This 253-nucleotide ribosomal RNA is filed under the name uncultured bacterium. Its description in RNAcentral is "partial 16S ribosomal RNA". It matches the Rfam family "Bacterial small subunit ribosomal RNA", at positions 524 to 776 of the family's 1533-position model. The record is from RNAcentral.